This 786-nucleotide long non-coding RNA is filed under the name Bos taurus (domestic cattle). Its description in RNAcentral is "partial IPW". The record is from RNAcentral. Lineage: Eukaryota; Metazoa; Chordata; Mammalia; Artiodactyla; Bovidae.
CCAGUGGCCUUGAGUGGCCCGGGAUGGAAGACUGUUCGCAACAGAGAACCUGUCGCAUAUUCCAUAACAACUGUCCUGGCAAGACAAGGCAUGUGAGCCCCCAGGGACUUCUGGGCAAUUGGCCCUUCGAUGUACAGGUGGAUCACCCAUGGCGCCAGAUUGAGUGGCCCAGGAUGGAAGACCAUUGGCAUCGGAGACCCAUCACAUAUUCCAUGACUCCCAGCCUGGAAAGUCGAGGCCUACGAGCCGCCACGGGCCACUGGACACGCGGCCCUUGGUGGUACAGGUGGAACACCAAUGGCUGUGCAUUUGGAGCGAAGGACAACAGUGGCAGAUUUAUGGACCAUCCAACAGUUUUCCUCUCCCAUAAUCAGUUCCUCUCUGGCGGAAUUCCAGAUCCACAAGUGACAGACAACAUCUGCAAAGGAAGGAUUAUCUGAGUGCAGCCUGCUGCUCCUGGUGCAACUGAUGUCAGCCUUGGUGCCGCAGCUGGGUAGACGGAAACUCAAGUCCUUUACAGCUUCCUUAUUUCCAGAAAGCUUUGGAGACAGACAACACCCCAGAGGAAGGAAGAUCUGAGCGUGGCCUGCUGCCCCUAGGGCAAUCGAUAUCAGCCUUGAUCCAGCCUUUGGUGUGGACAGAAACUCACAUCCUCUGGGGCAUCCUCCUUUCCAGAAAGCAUCAGAAUCAGACAUUCUGGAGAAGGCCUCACUGUAACCUGAACAAUUCAAGACAGACAACGUCCCCAGAGGAAGGAAGAUCUGAGUGUGGCUUGCUGCUCCUGGG